This 440-nucleotide ribosomal RNA is filed under the name uncultured bacterium. Its description in RNAcentral is "partial 16S ribosomal RNA". It matches the Rfam family "Bacterial small subunit ribosomal RNA", at positions 338 to 795 of the family's 1533-position model. The record is from RNAcentral.
CCUACGGGUGGCAGCAGUGGGGAAUAUUGCACAAUGGGGGAAACCCUGAUGCAGCGACGCCGCGUGAGUGAAGAAGUAUCUCGGUACGUAAAGCUCUAUCAGCAGGGAAGAAAAUGACGGUACCUGACUAAGAAGCCCCGGCUAACUACGUGCCAGCAGCCGCGGUAAUACGUAGGGGGCAAGCGUGCGCCGGCUUUACUGGGUGUAAAGGGAGCGUAGACGGCAGCACAAGUCUGGAGUGAAAUCCCGGGGCUUAACCCCGGAACUGCUUUGGAAACUGGCGAACUAGAGUGCGGGAGGGGUAGGCGGAAUUCCUAGUGUAGCGGUGAAAGGCGUAGAUAUUAGGAGGAACAGCGGUGGCGAAGGCGGCUUACUGGACCGUAACUGACGUUGAGGCUCGAAAGCGUGGGGAGCAAACAGGAUUAGAUACCCGAGUAGUC